RNAcentral lists this ribosomal RNA (397 nucleotides) under uncultured bacterium. RNAcentral describes it as "bacterial SSU rRNA". It matches the Rfam family "Bacterial small subunit ribosomal RNA", at positions 30 to 429 of the family's 1533-position model. The record is from RNAcentral.
AUUGAACGCUGGCGGCAUGCCUUACACAUGCAAGUCGAACGGCAGCACGGGAGCAAUCCUGGUGGCGAGUGGCGAACGGGUGAGUAAUGUAUCGGAACGUACCUUUCAGUGGGGGAUAGCGUAGCGAAAGUUACGCUAAUACCGCAUAUUCUGUGAGCAGGAAAGCAGGGGAUCGCAAGACCUUGCGCUGAUUGAGCGGCCGAUAUCAGAUUAGCUAGUUGGUGAGGUAAAGGCUCACCAAGGCGGCGAUCUGUAGCGGGUCUGAGAGGAUGAUCCGCCACACUGGAACUGAGACACGGUCCAGACUCCUACGGGAGGCAGCAGUGGGGAAUUUUGGACAAUGGGCGCAAGCCUGAUCCAGCCAUGCCGCGUGAGUGAAGAAGGCCUCGGUUGUAAG